This 10900-nucleotide long non-coding RNA is filed under the name Medicago truncatula (barrel medic). RNAcentral's name for it is "long non-coding RNA (MTRU_LNC001595)". The record is from RNAcentral. Lineage: Eukaryota; Viridiplantae; Streptophyta; Magnoliopsida; Fabales; Fabaceae.
AAUCCCCCAUUUUAUAAACCACCGGUAGAGAAACCACCUGUGUAUAAACCACCAAUAGAGCAACCUCCAAUUUAUAAGCCACCUGUAGAAAAUCCUCCAAUUUAUAAACCACCAGUAGAGAAACCACCCGUGUAUAAACCACCGUUUGAGAAACCUCCAAUCUACCAUCCACCAGUAGAGAUACCACCAGUGUACAACCCACCAGUUGAACAUCCUCCAAUUUACAAGCCUCCUGUAUACAAACCACCAGUAGAGCAACCUCCCGUCUAUAAGCCACCAGUAGAGAAGCCUCCAAUUUACAAGCCACCAGUAGAGAAACCUCCUGUUUACCAACCUCCUGUUUACAAGCCCCCAGUUGAGAAACCUCCAGUGUACAAGCCACCUGUAGAAAAGCCACCAGUGUACAAGCCACCUGUAGAAAAGCCACCAGUGUACAAGCCACCUGUAGAAAAGCCUCCUAUAUACAAACCACCAGUAGAGAAACCACCAGUGUACAAACCACCCGUUGAGAAACCCCCGGUUUAUAAGCCACCAGUAGAGAAACCACCUGUGUACAAGCCACCAGUUGAGAAGCCCCCAAUUUACAAGCCACCAGUAGAGAAACCACCUGUAUACAAGCCACCAGUUGAGAAGCCUCCAGCUUACAAGCCACCAGUUGAGAAGCCACCUGUAGAGAAACCACCAGUGUACAAGCCACCGGUUGAGAAGCCCCCAAUUUACAAACCACCAGUUGAGAAGCCUCCAGUGUACAAGCCACCGGUUGAGAAACCACCUGUCUACAAGCCACCUGUAGAAAAUCCACCUGUUUACAAGCCACCAUUUGAGAAACCUCCAAUUUAUAAACCGCCAAUAGAGUAUCCACCCGUGUACAAGCCCCCUUUUGAGAAACCCCCCAUCUACAAGCCACCUGUAGAGAAACCUCCUUUUUACAAGCCUCCGUUUGAGAAUCCACCAUUUUAUAUACCUCCAGUUGAGGAGCCUCCUGUUUACAAGCCUCCAUUCGAGAAGCCACCAAUUUACACUCCUCCAUUCUAGAGCCCACCUUACCACCCAAAGUUCCCUCGGGCAGGCGAUGGUACUCGUUAAUAGAACAUGCUAUGAAGAAAAUAUGUUAAAUAAGAGAUAUAUAGAGUUUUUUAUUUAAUCAAGGAAUAUAUAUAUUCAUGUAAUCUUCAUUUCAAUACUUUGUUUACAAUACUCUUGCUAUGAUAAGAAUAUGAGUGAAAAACAGAGAAAGAAAAUAGUGUGCUUUUCUAUUCGAAAUUAUGAAUAAGAUUUCUAUGAUUUAGAUGUUGUGUUGGUUGACUAAAUCGUGAUACAUCGACAGAGGCAGAGCCCCUCAUGCGCCAAGGUGGGUCAUGGCCCACCCCCAAAUUUUGUUUCUUAUUAUAUAUAUAUUAUGUUUUGUAAAUUUUUGAUGUUUUUGUAGCAUGUUGUAGUGGUUAAGAGCCUUUUUGCCAAGUCGUAUGUGCUAGGUUCAACUCUUGCCAAAACCAUUUUUAUUUAUUCUUUUAUUUUCUUUUGUAUAAAAAAAAAACAUAAUUCAUAAUUGUUAAAAUAAUCCUUUUUUUUGUUACUUAAUCCUUUCUUUCUUUAAUAAAACAUAACUCCUUUAUUCGAUUUAAAAUAAUCUUUCCUUUCCUUACUCUUAUUUUUGGAUACAAUUGUCUCUUUACUCUUUUAUUUUAAUUUUUUUUUUAUACAAAGGGGACUUCAACUCUUUUUUGUCAAAAAACAUUCUCUUUUAAAACAUAUAACAUAUUUUUUAUACUUAGUCGUUUGAUUCAAUUCGAUUUUAUACCUAUACAUCUGUUUAUUGAAGUCGAGUCAUUUAAUUCAGUCGUUAGGUUCAAUGGCCUAGUUGUUCGAUCAAUUAUCUUGAACUUUAUCAAGGUUGAUAAACAGUUCAUAUUUUAAAAUACCGGUUUAAAUUAUAUUCAACAAAUAACAAAUUUAUAGUCAUUGGAACCAACCAAUAAUAAAAUGUACUUGUAAGAAAAUAAAGCCUCAUCACUAUUUAUGGCCCACCCUAUACUUUUUUCCUAGCUCCGCCACUUUACAUCUUCGUAUUCUUUAGGAAGUUUCAACCUUGUUGACUAUGACAACAGUGACGACUAUAACGAGACUCGCUAUUGACUAUGACAACAGUGACGACUAUAACGAGACUCCCUACUUUUUGGUUUGCUUCAACAGGUUCUCAACAUAAAUAACUAACCAAGUUAAUUUGCCUGUGAAAUGUGAUAUUAGUAAGGUGCAUGAAGGUUAAGUUCUUUAGCAAAGCUUAGUAUCUUGAAUUAAAGAAUAUCGUUAAUUAAACUAAAUAUUCAUAUUAGGUAUCACAAUUUUCAAGACUUUAUAUGUACGUGUUGAUCCAUUAAUUAAGAGAAAUUAGACUUUAGACCCGUGCGUCGCACGGGUCAUUUCGACUAAUAUAUAAUAAUAAGUAAUGGUAAAAAAAAUUCUAAAAUAAAUAAAAGAUGAAGAGUAUUAUACAUUUUACUUACUCAAGUUCAAAAAAUAAAGUAGGAGAUGACAUGAAAUCGUUUAGUUGAAACAAACGAAUAUUAAAAAAUAAAAAUUAGACAACGACAGGGAUCUAAAAUUCUAUUUCUAAUCCUUCACAUAUCAAAAUUACAAUUGGUUCUCUUCAUUGUAAUCAUCUAAACUUAAUUAAAAAAUUUACAAGUGCAAAUAGAAUCGACAUUAUACAAGUCACUACUUGAUUCCAAAAACCUAUGUUUCAUGAAAACCACUCAUACCUAAAUAACAAUAAUAAACCUUCAAAACAAAAAUCAACUAUUCUCAAAGGACCCAAAAGAAAGAUUUUUAGCCUUCUAAAUCACAAUUUCUCUUGUUGUAUUGUUUUUGUGUCAAAAGCACCAUAAGUUGAAUAGUAGGCUCAGACACAUGACUUUCCUCAUAAGACAAAAUCACCAGUUUUUUAUAGGUUGAAAAAAUAAAUCAAAUAUCCUUAACUUUCAAUAACGCUUAGAAACAACUGAAACUUUUGCAUUAUCUCAAUCCACAAACAAAAUUGAAGACCUUUAUAUUUGCUUUAGGCACCUUAAGGAAUUCUAUGUAAAUUGUUUUCCUGCAAUGAAAUGCUAAACACAAUGAGCAAAGAAGAAGAAUUAACAACAAUAUUUGGAUUGUUUUAUUUAGCUUACAAUUCUUUAAACUAAUCAANAACACAAUGAGCAAAGAAGAAGAAUUAACAACAAUAUUUGGAUUGUUUUAUUUAGCUUACAAUUCUUUAAACUAAUCAACAAAAAAUUAAAUUUGCAUUAUAUCCUCCACAAUAUCAAGAAUUUUUCAAAGGGAUCAUUCUAUUUGUAUGGCUAUGAUGAGAACUCAUGUGUGUCCAUGAAGACCAGCUCUACGGAUAACCAUGUUCAUAUUAACUAUUUUAGGAGUGAAAAUAGGAUUGGAUUGGAUUUAGUAGUGAGCUGUUGUUUUUGAUUUCAGAAGCAUUUGAAAAUAACAUUUUGAUUAAAUGGAAAUAAUAGGAAGAAUUUGUUAAUAAAAGUGAUUUUUUUUUUUUUUUUUAUGUUGAUCUUUUUAUUGUUGUGUUAGAAACAAAAUAGGACGAAAUUGUAUUUUUUUUUUUAUGUUUAUCUUUUUAUUGUUGUGUUGGAAACAAAAUAGGAGGAAAUUGUUAUAGGAAUAGGAGGAACGAUUUUUAAAGUUUAUCUCUUAAUUAAACAGGUUUAAUUGAACACGGGGGUAAUAACGUAAAAGUCAUCAUAAAAUCUAGGUUAAAAUUAGGUUAAAAAUUGGCUUACGGGUUAACUUUUAUAUAUAAAGAAGUCAAGAGAAUCUAGAUCUGUGAAGCCCCGAUACUUCAAAAUGGAUGAUGUAUCGUAUCCGCUGCGUAUUCUGUAUCGAUACCUGCCCGAUACUUCUCAAAUUUAUGAGUUUUAUUUGAUUCUUCGAAUUCGAAUUUUGAGAAUUUUAGGGUUUGAAGGUUGGUGAUGGAGGUGAAUCUGAGUUUAUAUUAAGAAUUGAUGAAGAAUUUAAGGAGAGUGCAGUGAUGGAUAGGUAACUGAGUAUGAAUUGGUAUGCAGUUUGGAAAAACAAAACAAGAGGCAGUAGCAGCACCCCCACCCUUCCUCUACUUCUUCGACAAUAUGAGUGUUAGAUUCAUUUUCCUAGGUGUGAUUUUGAGGCAGAUGAAUAUGUGUGAGAGAUUGUAGAGGAAGAUCUCAGAUAUAGCUUUUAGGGAUGAACAUGAAUGAAUGAAUUUGUAGAUGAAGAUGAAUGUUGUUUGAACAUUUAAUUAAGAAAUUUUUAAUUGUUUUUUGUUUUAAUAUUUGAAAUUAUUAAAUUGUAUUUUGAAAUUCAAAAAACCUGUUUUAAUGACAUGUAAAUGACAUUUUCCAAAUUGGCAAUGCCACAUAGGCAAAAUUUUACCACCUGUGCAUUUUUGGAUGUGAAAAUAGGGGGUAAGACUAAAACUGCAACAAAAAUGAUAAUUGAAAAACAAUUUUAAUCUGUUUUAAAAGGGCAGGACCAAUUUCCUGAGUAGGCCACAACACGAGGACCAAAAGUGUAAUUAAGCCUUAUAUUUAUGUUGAUGUGCUACAAGCUUAUGACUGGUUUCUUUUGUUUGAUAAUAUAUUUGCAUAUUAAAUAAAAUGGUUAUAAUUAUAUUCUACAUUUAAUUAUAUAAUUUUUUUAUUGACGUAUCCCAACCAUAUCGUAUCUUGAUUUUUGAAAUUUUUUCGUAUUGACGUAUCGGUGCAGUAUCGUAUCUCGUAUUCGGGCUUCAUAGAUCUAGACUAUUAAUUUUUUUGAUAAACAAGAUUAUUAUUAUUUUUUGACAAAAACAAAGUGAGAUUCAUUCAUUCAAAUUGAUAGAGUACAUCAGAUACAAACAUUGCUAAAAACGUAAAGGAUAAAUCUAUGAACAAACUCACAACACUAAAGUUCAUACAACAGCAAAAUGUCUACAAAUAAUAUGAUAAAAUCUAAGUCACCAAAAUAUUCAUGCUUCCGGGUAUGCAACGUUGGCGCCCAAAUCAUUGAUUGAAUUUGUAAUUGACUAAUGUCGAUCUUUCAACAUGAACUAAACGAACACCGCGUCAAGACGCGAAAUCAAACAUCACAUAAGACCACUAACAACACAAUGCCACAAUUAGAUGACGAAAUCACAAAAACUCAAAAGGGAAAACUUGAUAUAUGUGAAAACCAUUUGUUUAGAUCGAAAGAAAAGAGAAAAAACGAUGUAGAGGGGUGAUUUUAGGUCAAAAAUGACCUAAAACCAGUUCUUUUUAAUAAACGAAGGAGAAAGAAUGUUUAGAGAGAAGUUGGAGUUUUUUUUUACUUAAAAAAUUAGGAUAAGCAAAAUUAUUAUAGAGGGAUAAAGGGCUCCCCAACCCAUAUACAAAAUGAUGGUUGCAAUGCCAUGUAGAAAAUAAAAAGAUAACAUUGCCUUUCUUUUUACAAUUAAACUAGUUACAAACCCGUGCGUUGCACGGGUUUAAUAACGUAUUUUAUAAAAAAAAAAUCUUUUAAAAGAAAAAUGAGCAAAUUAAUGAAUAUUGCACAAACAUUAUAAAUCUUUAUCAAAAUAUUUAUGAAAGCUUUAUCAAGUCUUUAAUACACAUUAAUAUUUGUGAUGAUUGAUAAAAGAAUUAAAAAGAGUAAAGGGUAUAGAAAUAAAUUUAUUAAAGAAUUAACAAUUUGUUUAAACUUAUUUUUGUUACAAUUUAGACCAAAAAAAAUAUUGGACUUCAUUGAGUUUCUCUAUAAUUUUUUUAUCAGGCUUGAAGUUAUGACUCUGAGUUUGAAAACCGCAAAAUUCACAAAAAUUAUUGAAGAAACACUAUAAACAAAUAAACGGCAUCGUCAAAAAUGAAAUCAUAUUUGGCUAUAGUGAUCAAGCAAACAAAAAAAAAGAAGCAUAUUAAAUACCUAUAAUCAAUGGAUUCUAAUUGCAUAGAGGCGACACUUAUACUUUCUCUAUGUUUGUUCAUCAAUGAGAGUGAUUAUUUUGCGCUUUCCUUUCAGAAUUGUUCUUGACACCUAGUUUGGGAAAUGCUAAACAGGGAAAUAACUGUAAUAUUAAUCUAAUGCAUAUUAACAUGGAUAAGAUGUAUGCGAAUAUAGUUAUAUAUAACUUAUGAAAUGAAGGUAACAUAACUGAUUUUAAGCUAAAGAAAAUGUACCAUGACUUCUAAUUUAUCUUUCUAUUAUCUUCCUAUAAAGUCUAGAGAAAUGCAUGCAUGUGCAUUAUAUGUACCCCGUUGACCAAUUAACAUUUUUGAAACAAAUGAAAAUUAAGCAUCACUCCCGCAUGUGCAUCUAUAGCUAACACCAUUUGACAUUGAUGUCUUCGAACAUUUGGUGCAACUCUCAUAAUACCAUCCAAACUGGUUAGGAUUGAAUUUAGUUGUUUUUCCAAAUAGUGAUGGAGUAUGUAUCCUAACACAAAUUAUGCACGUGAAAUAAAGAAUAGUGCAAUAUGCAUUUUUAAUUUGUGCGUAAAAAAAUUCAAAGCAUGUUUGUGAAAAAAAAAAAAAAAAACAGACCUUGACUAAGUUUAUAGAUUCAUCAAUUGGCCUAACUUGAGACAGAUUGGAAAAAUCGUUCUACGAAGUACUUUUUAAACUUUACUUUUUAAUCUAUCUGAGCUUGAGAAGUGUUAAGUUCACGACAACAAUUCAAGAAACAUGGUCAAUAAACAAUCAAAUCAGAUUGUGAAAUAAUAAGUUACUCUAACACUGUAUUGUGAAAUCAUAAUGCAAACUUACUAAGUCUUAAACUUUUCAACAACCGGAUGAUGUAGGUUGAUGAGCAGCCUCGAACCUGACCAAUUGUUACAUCUAUUUGCGUUGUCAUUGACUACAAAAUAGAAGCAAAGAAUUCAAGGUAAAUAAAUGGUAAAUGAUAAAGCUACAAAGUAUUUUACCCAUAAUGUUACAUCAACUAUAUUCCCAAUGCUCUAAAUCUCUAUAUCGAGUUAUUACAUGAACUCGAUCACCCUAAAUCCGAGAAAGAAACCAAAAAAUAUAAAUAAAUCAAAAUGUAUACUAAUAAGUAACAUUGAUAAAUCAUAAAAGAAAUUACUACAAAUCUUAACUAACUUAUCUAACCUUUGCAUCACAAAUAAUGAGCUUCAUAUGUUGAUUCUCAUUACUACCAGUCACAAUUCAAGAAUCCAGUACUCCAAAUCCUAUUUUCCAAACGUCUAAAUCAUUUUUGAGAUACUUAAUGUAGUCAUAAUCCCUUGACAUUGAAAUUCAUAUAUAGAAAUACAAUAAUACAUCAUUUAAUUUUAUUCCCUUUGUUCAUUCUGAUAUCGAAAGAAGCUAACAUAUUUCUAUGUGAUCAAUUUUUGUAUCAUCAAAUUAACCUGAUCUUAAAUGUACAAAUUUCUAUCAUCAACUUUCUGGACCCCAAUGAUAUGAUCAAAACAAAUUUACACCAAUCAACUUUUUGCACGGCUCAAUGAUAUACGAAAGAAUAAAUAAAAUAUGAAAACUGUUACAGCUUUAGGAUUACUCACAAAAACUAAAAUAAUUGAAAUGCAUCAAUUAUUUUCAACUCCUGUACCAGAAGCUAAAAUAACAAUUGUGUCAAAACCUUACCAUCAGUUAAAAUUCAGUCAUCAUGACCUCUACUAUACUCCACAUAACAAAAGACGAUUUUUCUACAGCCAUGCAACAUAACAAAUUUUGGUACAUAAUCCAAUAACAAUUGGAAAAAAAAAAAAAAAACCCUUAAAAUGCAUAAUCAUGAAAAAAGGAAGAAAACCAUCUAUGAUGAAGCAAAAACUAAAACGGUGUCGAAAAAUGAAGCCCUUAAGCCAUAAAAAUCAGUCAACUCAAGUCAUGCAUGGUCUCAGAACCAUGAAAAAAGAUAGAAAAUGACCUUUUUUUUUUUUGUGGUGGCCGGGGUUUGAACUCCGGACCUUGCAUAUUUUAUGCAUUGUCCUACCAACUAAGCUAAGCUCACGAGGACGAAGAAAAUGACCUCUUAUGAAGAAGAAAGUGAAACAGUGUUCCCGACUGAACUUAGAUACCGUUUGGUCAAGGUUUUUUACAUUAUAAAAGUUACUUCAAAACAAAGUAAAAAUAAAGGCCUUUAUGAAAGAAACUAAAGUUAUUUGGUUUUUUUGUUUUGUUAGUUUUAAAGCUAUUUAAGUUUAAUGUUGUUUGGCAAAAUAUUGUACAAACUUUGAAUUUAUUAUUUUUUAUAUGGUGUCUGGGGUUCGAACUCCGGACUUGGCAUGUAUUUAUGCAUUGUUCCUAUCAACUGAGCUAAACUCAUGAGGACAAAACUUUGAAUUUAUUAUUAAUUAACAUAAUAAAUAAAUAAAAUGUUUAGAAUAAUUUAUGAAGGCUAAAAAUGUUAAAAAAAUAAAAGAUAUUUUUUUUACAAAUACGAUAUUUACUCAAUAACGUUUAUUUUGUGUAACAUGAAUACAAAUUAAUAUCAUCAUAUAAAUAACUUGUUAAAUAUUUGAAUAGGAGAAACAAUUUAAGGAGUCUGGAAUAAUAAUAUAAAUAAUAUCAAAAUAUUUGAUUUUUUCUAUUUCAAUUAUACUCUAUAACAAAUUUCGUUAUAAGAAUACCAUAUUUUUUGUGUCUUUCAAAAAGAUAAGAAUUUAUAUUAUAUGAUAUUAUAUUUGUUACAUUGUUGGUGUCAUGGAAACAGAUAUGUUUAAUUUUUUUGAACAUGAAAAUGAUAUGCAUAGUUUGUUACGAUAUAAAGGUGCAAUAUAUAUAUAUAUAUACACCUUUUUAGGCAUCUAUACCUUUUUUUGAAGAAAAGACAUCUACAAUUUUACUUUUAAUUAAAAUUUAAAUUUUAUAAAAAUAAUCAUACGCAUUAUGCAACGCUAAAAAAAAUUAUACACAUUAGCGUAACAAAAAAACAGACACACAUAAAGAAUUACUCUAAACGCUAAUGUGUAUGUGCGUAUAUAUUUGCGAGGUUGAAGAAAGAAAAUACAAAUAUUUGAUAUCAUUAAAUGACAGCGUGAAUAAAAAUAUUUGUGAAGUUGUGAUGAUUAAACGAUAUUGAAAUUAUAAGUGAUAAAAAGAUAAUAAAAUUCCUUUGAAAAAAAGGUAAUAAAAUUAAAUGGAACCUCCUUAAAAAAAAUUAAAUUGAACGCUUCAAAUUAAAUGGAAGAAAAAAAUAUAUUGAAGUAUAAUAUUAAAAAAUAAAAAAAAAGGUUCCCAACGUGAAUUGAAGAGAGAUGCUUGUGAAAUAAAUUGUCGAGAAGUAGUUUUUUGAAGAAGCAUUCAACAACUUUUGGUCAAAGUUCAUUGCAUUCAAUUUUAUGCAUUAAAAAAGGUACAUUUUUUAGAAAGUACUUAAUUGAUAUUGUAUUUGACCUAACUUCUCCUUAAAAAUAUAGGGAAGUUGAAAAAAAAAACCGGGUCAAACGGUAUCUUAAUUUCCCACAACGGCAGUGUAGAAACAACUGAAUUUGGGAGAAAAAAAUUGGAAAAUAGUUAAAAAUAAAAAAAAUUGAAAAAUAGUUAAAAAAAAUCGGUGAGGUAGCACCUAACCAAACAACACUAAAAAAAAUUAUAUGCAUCAGCGUAACAAAAAAACAGACAGACGGACAUAAAAUAUUACUCUAAACGUUAAUGUGUGUGUAUAUAUUCGCGAGGUUGAAGAAAGGAAAUAAAAAUAUUUGGUAUCAUUAAAUGACAGCGUGAAUAAAAAUAUUUGUGAGGUUGUGAUGAUUAAACAAUAUUGAAAUUAAAAUAAUUAAUAUUGUGUUUGACCCAACUUCUCCUUAAAAAUUUAGAGAAGUUGGAAAAAAGUCGGGUCAAGCGAUACCUUAAUCUCCCACAACGGUAAUGUAGAAGCCACUGAAUUUGGGAGAAAAAAUUGGAAAAUAGUUAAAACUAAAAAAUAAAAAAAUCGGUGAGGUAGCACCCAACCAAGCAACACCAAAAAAAAAUUAUAUGCAUUAUCGUAACAAAAAAAUAGACAAACAGACAUAUAAUAUUACUCGAAACAUUAAUGUGUGUGUAUAUUCGCGAGGUUGAAGAAAGGAAAUAAAAAUAUUUGAUAUCAUUAAAUGACAACGUGAAUAAAUAUAUCUGUGAGGUUGUGAUGAUUAAAUAAUAUUUAAAUUAAAAUAAUUGAUAUUGUGUUUGACCUAACUUCUCCUUAAAAAUGUAGAGAAUUUGGAAAAAAGCCGGGUCAAACGAUACCUUAGUCUCCCACAACGGCAAUGUAGAAGCAACUGAAUUUGGGAGAAAAAAUUGAAAAAUAGUUAAAAACAUAAAAAUUGGAAAAUAGUUAAAAGUUAUUAAAAAUUAGAAAAUAAUUUAAAAAAUUGGUGAGGGGCAAAAUGGGAAAUUUGGCAUAAAAAAGAUGAGGUGGCACCAAACCAAACCCACCAAUUAGAAAAUUACUUAAAUGCCCAUUCCAGGGACAAAAUGGGAAUUUCAUAUGGCAUCAAUUUUAAUAGAGUAUAUAGACCACUCACAUUACACAAAUGUUGAAAUAUAUGAUGCAUAUUACUUUUUAAAUUUUUGGUUUAUAGUUGCAUUUUUUUUAGGGUUAAUAGUGUUUUUCACCCUUGUAAUAUAUGUCAUUUUCGGUUUUCGACCCUAUAAAAUUUUUAGUUUUAUUUUAACCCUCGUAAAAUUUUUAUUUUCCGGAAAAGACCCUUAAUAGGCCAUUCAAAAACCAAAAUUUCUUGAAAAAAAUUCUGAAAAUGGCCUAUUAGGGGUCUUUUCCGGAAAAUAAAAAUUAUACGAGGGACCACCUGUUGAGAAACCACCUGUACACAAGCCACCAGUUGAGAAGCUACCUGUUUACAAGCCACCUGUAGAGAAACCUCCGGUGUACAAGCCACCUGUUGAGAAGCCCCCAGUUUACAAACCUCCAGUAGAGAAGCCUCUAGUGCACAAGCCACCAGUUGAUAAACCAC